CCUUACCUGAGCCUUCAGGUCUUCGAUGGUCUUGAAAUAGUGGCCCCAGUCUCUGACGCCCUGGGGCCCCUUCUUCUCCAGAUGUUCCCGGAUUUUGAUCUCCAGCCUCCUGUUCUCAGUCUCCAGGCUCUUCACCUUGUCCAGGCUCUUUCCCAGGGCUGAUGGAAGAGGAAAACCCUACAUGCCUUCUCAGGAGCACCUGCCUGCCUGCCAGGGCUCUCCAGCUGGGAGUCUUAGAACCCUGCAUAGCACCAACUGCUGAGAGGAAUCGGGUAGAACUUGAGUAUGAUGCGAAGGAAAAGAACAGAAGUGACACAGACUGUCUAGUGACAUGGCUUAGCUAGGAAAGAUGCCUGCUGCCAAGCCUGAAGACCCGAGUUCAAUCCCCGGAACCAACGUGGUGGAAGAAGUUAACAAACUGCAAAUUGUCUUUCGACCUCCAUGUGUGUGAGCACUCACAAGUAAAUGUGUAUAAAUAGGAGAAUAAACAAGUGCCCGCCUGGUGGCCCAUGCCUUUAAUCCCAGUGCAUGAAAGU
Long non-coding RNA from Acomys russatus (golden spiny mouse), 536 nucleotides. RefSeq lists it as uncharacterized. The transcript has 3 exons. The record is from RefSeq and is a predicted model, not a curated record. NCBI's taxonomy places the organism in Eukaryota, Metazoa, Chordata, Mammalia, Rodentia, Muridae.